RNAcentral lists this ribosomal RNA (256 nucleotides) under uncultured bacterium. RNAcentral's name for it is "partial 16S ribosomal RNA". It matches the Rfam family "Bacterial small subunit ribosomal RNA", at positions 524 to 778 of the family's 1533-position model. The record is from RNAcentral.
UACGUAGGGUGCGAGCGUUGUCCGGAAUUAUUGGGCGUAAAGGGCUCGUAGGCGGUUUGUCGCGUCGGGAGUGAAAACCAUGGGCUUAACUCAUGGCUUGCUUCCGAUACGGGCAGACUAGAGGCAUGCAGGGGAGAACGGAAUUCCUGGUGUAGCAGUGAAAUGCGUAGAUAUCGUAAGGAAGACCAGUGGCGAAGGCGGAUCUCUGGACAGUUACUGACACUGAGGCACGGAAGGCCAGGGGAGCAAACGGGAU